GACAUGCAGAGAACUUUCCAGAGAUGGAUUGGUGCCGUUCGGGAACUCUGACACAGGUGCUGCAUGGCUGUCGUCAGCUCGUGUCGUGAGAUGGUUGGUUAAGUCCCGUAACGAGCGCAACCCUUGUCCUUAGUUACCAGCACGUUAUGGUGGGCACUCUAAGGAGACUGCCGGUGACAAACCGGAGGAAGGUGGGGAUGACGUCAAGUCAUCAUGGCCCUUACGGCCUGGGCUACACACGUGCUACAAUGGUCGGUACAAAGGGUUGCCAAGCCGCGAGGUGGAGCUAAUCCCAUAAAACCGAUCGUAGUCCGGAUCGCAGUCUGCAACUCGACUGCGUGAAGUCGGAAUCGCUAGUAAUCGUGAAUCAGAAUGUCACGGUGAAUACGUUCCCGGGCCUU
Molecule: ribosomal RNA, 401 nt
Filed under: uncultured Pseudomonas sp.
Lineage: Bacteria; Pseudomonadati; Pseudomonadota; Gammaproteobacteria; Pseudomonadales; Pseudomonadaceae
Description: bacterial SSU rRNA
Rfam family: Bacterial small subunit ribosomal RNA
Source: RNAcentral